This 508-nucleotide ribosomal RNA is filed under the name uncultured bacterium. RNAcentral describes it as "partial 16S ribosomal RNA". It matches the Rfam family "Bacterial small subunit ribosomal RNA", at positions 28 to 523 of the family's 1533-position model. The record is from RNAcentral.
GAUGAACGCUAGCUACAGGCUUAACACAUGCAAGUCGAGGGGAAACGAUAUUGGAAGCUUGCUUCCGAUAGGCGUCGACCGGCGCACGGGUGAGUAACGCGUAUCCAACCUGCCCACCACUUGGGGAUAACCUUGCGAAAGUAAGACUAAUACCCAAUGAUAUCUCUAGAAAACAUCCGAAGGAGAUUAAAGAUUUAUCGGUGAUGGAUGGGGAUGCGGCUGAUUAGGUUGUUGGCGGGGUAACGGCCCACCAAGGCGACGAUCAGUAGGGGUUCUGAGAGGAAGGUCCCCCACAUUGGAACUGAGACACGGUCCAAACUCCUACGGGAGGCAGCAGUGAGGAAUAUUGGUCAAUGGGCGAGAGCCUGAACCAGCCAAGUAGCGUGCAGGAUGACGGCCCUAUGGGUUGUAAACUGCUUUUAUAAGGGAAUAAAGUGAGCCUCGUGAGGCUUUUUGCAUGUACCUUAUGAAUAAGGACCGGCUAAUUCCGUGCCAGCCGCCGCUGUAA